This 1243-nucleotide ribosomal RNA is filed under the name uncultured bacterium. RNAcentral's name for it is "partial 16S ribosomal RNA". It matches the Rfam family "Bacterial small subunit ribosomal RNA". The record is from RNAcentral.
AGAGUUUGAUCCUGGCUCAGAACAAACGCUGGCGGCGUGCCUAACACAUGCAAGUCGUACGUGAAAGUCCCGCAAGGGACAAGUAAAGUGGCGACCGGGUGAGUAAUACAUAGGUAACCUACUUAUAAGUUGGGAAUAACAGUUCGAAAGGACUGCUAAUACCGAAUAUUAUAUUAUAACACAAGUUGUAAUAUCAAAGAUGGCCUCUUUACAAUGCUAUCGCUUAUAAAUGGGCUUAUGAACCAUUAGCUAGUUGGUGGAGUAAUAGCCUACCAAGGCAAUGAUGGUUAGCUGGUCUGAGAGGAUGAUCAGCCACACUGAACUGAACACGUCGGCGCGAUGACACCUGAGCGACGACUGAUACUGUAUAGACUUACUGUGCUAGCUAUUCCACGUAUGGCAGUUCGAUCGGAAGCGUGCGUCGUAGACGUUACUCGUCCGAGAGGUAUGACCAAGCGAGAGUCGGAUCUGUGACGUAAUGGUAGAAUCAGAGACACGUGCGAGCGCGCACUGCCUGCCUGACGUGGGCGGACAGGUGGGAGCUACGGAUAAUACCCGUGUCACGCGUAACGAGGUCUAGGGUCGCCGGUCCACCGGGCGGUGCGGAGUAACGCACUAAUACCCCGCCUGGGAGUACGGCCGCAAGGUGAAACUCAAAGGAAUUGAUGGGGGCCCGCACAAGCAGUGGAGCAUGUGGUUAUUGACGCAACGCGCAGAACCUUACCAGGACUAGACGGGAUCGUGAGCGCCGCGAAAGCGGCGGGCGGCUUCGGCCGAGCGAUCGUCAGGUGCUGCAUGGUUGUUGUCAGCUCGUGUCGUGAGAUGUUGGGUUAAGUCCCGCAACGAGCGCAACCCCUGUCGUGUGUUGCCAGCGGUUCGGCCGGGCACUCACGCGAGACAGCCGGGGACGACCCGGAGGAAGGUGGGGAUGACGUCAAAUCCGCAUGGCCUUUAUGUCCUGGGCUACACACGUGCUACAAUGGCCGCGACAAUGGGUCGAUACGACGCGAGUCGAUGCUAACCCCCAAACGCGGUCUCAGUUCGGAUUGCAGGCUGCAACCCGCCUGCAUGAAGCCGGAAAUGCUNGUAAUCGCGGAUCAGCAUGCCGCGGUGAAUCCGUUCCCGGGCCUGGUACACACCGCCCGUCACGCCAUGGGAGUGGAUUGUACCAGAAGCAGCUAGCCUAACCUUCGGGAGGGCGGUUACCACGGUAUURUCAUGACUGGGGUGAAGACUGAACAAG